This 214-nucleotide long non-coding RNA is filed under the name Cyanistes caeruleus (blue tit). RNAcentral's name for it is "lncRNA (ENSCCEG00000007886.1)". The record is from RNAcentral. Lineage: Eukaryota; Metazoa; Chordata; Aves; Passeriformes; Paridae.
UCUCUAUAGCUUACUCAGGAAAAUGAUGAGGAAUCUUCCAGAGAGUGCAGCUGGGUGCUGGAGCUGACUGCAGUCUGUGACCAGUGGUGUUGGAUCCUGCCCACUUGAAGCUCCAUCACCAACCUCAUCCUUGGCAGUGACUGAGAAGAGCUGGAGGUCCCAAAUCACUAUUAUUAAUCACUUAAAAGAGCUAAAAAUAAAGGUGAGAAAUGGG